This 160-nucleotide ribosomal RNA is filed under the name Ramalina fraxinea. Its description in RNAcentral is "5.8S ribosomal RNA". It matches the Rfam family "5.8S ribosomal RNA". From Rfam's summary of the family: 5.8S ribosomal RNA (5.8S rRNA) is a component of the large subunit of the eukaryotic ribosome. It is transcribed by RNA polymerase I as part of the 45S precursor that also contains 18S and 28S rRNA. The record is from RNAcentral. Lineage: Eukaryota; Fungi; Ascomycota; Lecanoromycetes; Lecanorales; Ramalinaceae.
AAAACUUUCAACAACGGAUCUCUUGGUUCUGGCAUCGAUGAAGAACGCAGCGAAAUGCGAUAAGUAAUGUGAAUUGCAGAAUUCAGUGAAUCAUCGAAUCUUUGAACGCACAUUGCGCCCCUCGGUAUUCCGGGGGGCAUGCCUNGUUCGAGCAGUCAUU